This 298-nucleotide long non-coding RNA is filed under the name Mustela putorius furo (domestic ferret). RNAcentral describes it as "lncRNA (ENSMPUG00000026285.1)". The record is from RNAcentral. Lineage: Eukaryota; Metazoa; Chordata; Mammalia; Carnivora; Mustelidae.
GAGCCACCCAGGCAUCCCAGCUUUAUCUUUCAUUAAAUUAAGAUAACAGCACAGUAUAAUCAAAAUCAGAGAAGGGACUGUUGUCAUCCUUACUUCACAGAAGAGGAAUGAAAGGAAGCCACAGAGGAAGAGAAGUGCAUCACCCAAGGUCACAUGGCUGGUAAGUGUGAGAUCUGAAAUCUGAGCUGGGGCUGCCACUUCAAACUGCUUUUUCUUUUUUUUUUUUUUAAGAUGGUACACUAAAUAACCUUUGUGUAAUUAAUUAACUAAUUAAUUAGUGUUGUUUUUUUAAAUGAAA